UACGAGGGGGGCAAGCGUUGUUCGGAAUUAUUGGGCGUAAAGGGUGCGUAGGCGGUUUGACAAGUCUCAUGUGAUAUCUUCGGGCUCAACCCGAAGUCUGCAUGGGAAACUGUCGGGCUUGAGUAUGGGAGAGGUGAGUGGAAUUUCCGGUGUAGCGGUGAAAUGCGUAGAUAUCGGAAGGAACACCUGUGGCGAAAGCGGCUCACUGGACCAUAACUGACGCUGAUGCACGAAAGCUAGGGGAGCACACAGG
This 253-nucleotide ribosomal RNA is filed under the name uncultured bacterium. RNAcentral's name for it is "partial 16S ribosomal RNA". It matches the Rfam family "Bacterial small subunit ribosomal RNA", at positions 524 to 776 of the family's 1533-position model. The record is from RNAcentral.